RNAcentral lists this ribosomal RNA (253 nucleotides) under uncultured bacterium. RNAcentral's name for it is "partial 16S ribosomal RNA". It matches the Rfam family "Bacterial small subunit ribosomal RNA", at positions 524 to 776 of the family's 1533-position model. The record is from RNAcentral.
UACGAAGGGUGCAAGCGUUACUCGGAAUUACUGGGCGUAAAGCGUGCGUAGGUGGUUCGUUAAGUCUGAUGUGAAAGCCCUGGGCUCAACCUGGGAAUGGCAUUGGAAACUGGCGACCUAGAGUGCGGUAGAGGGUAGUGGAAUUCCCGGUGUAGCAGUGAGAUGCGUAGAGAUCGGGAGGAACAUCUGUGGCGAAGGCGACUGCCUGGACCAGCACUGACACUGAGGCACGAAAGCGUGGGGAGCAAACAGG